UCCCUACCUCAGCAACCGCUCCCCAGAUGUUGACAGAGACACUGUGGUGGUUACAAAGGUCAGCAUGAGUGUUCGUGAGAGCUCACGUGUUUAUUUUGGGGGUACGGACCCUGAACUCCAGAAGUGCAGAGACCUGGUCCAGUUUGAUUGAUGUCCACUGGGCUGGUGUCUGUCGCUAUCAUCACUCAGCCUCUGGCAGGCUCGGUCCCUACUUGCCAGCUUGAAGCAAACAGCCUGCACCUGCAGAAGAUAAAAUAUACUCCCCAGCUGACUCGGGCACACCCCUCUGCCUGAGUUGUGUGCUCACCAGACAUCCUGCUAUCUUCCAAAGACGUCCUGUUAUUCAGGCAGCUACCCCAGCUGGCUGGUGCAAUCCUGACCCUGUCCCUAUAUAAGAGAACUUAAAUGCUCCCUAGAGGCUGACACCCACACACUGGUCUCAGCCCACUGUGAGAGAUGUAA
Myotis brandtii (Brandt's bat) is the source of this 462-nucleotide long non-coding RNA. RefSeq lists it as uncharacterized. NCBI's taxonomy places the organism in Eukaryota, Metazoa, Chordata, Mammalia, Chiroptera, Vespertilionidae. The transcript is spliced from 3 exons. The record is from RefSeq and is a predicted model, not a curated record.